This 366-nucleotide long non-coding RNA is filed under the name Ornithorhynchus anatinus (platypus). Its description in RNAcentral is "lncRNA (ENSOANG00000036580.1)". Lineage: Eukaryota; Metazoa; Chordata; Mammalia; Monotremata; Ornithorhynchidae. The record is from RNAcentral.
AGUUUGGUAUAACUGAUAUUUGAAUAGUUUUCUCUUCUAAUUGGCAGGAGAUGUGACUAUUUGUCAGGCCCCAGCACCAAGUUGAAUUAUUUCAAGGUGAGAAGAGAUCUUUGGUGAAGACAAGAGAGAAAAUUGAUUGCUAUCAGUGUGGAACACCUCCUUCCAGAAGAUUUUUAAAAAAGGAGCAAGCAAAAUGUUCCAAAGAGGAAAGAACAAAUUAUGGAAUGGGAACAGAGAACAGCUUUCCUCACUAACCUCUGAAAACCAGGAUUCAGACAGAAGAAAGCCCAGAGAGGCAGGCAAGCAGGAGGAUCUCAUUUCUGGAAUCAUUCAGCAUGUUUCAAGGGCUUCUACUUUCAACAGGUG